This 620-nucleotide ribosomal RNA is filed under the name bacterium. RNAcentral's name for it is "bacterial SSU rRNA". It matches the Rfam family "Bacterial small subunit ribosomal RNA", at positions 340 to 964 of the family's 1533-position model. The record is from RNAcentral.
UACGGGAGGCAGCAGUGGGGAAUAUUGCACAAUGGGCGAAAGCCUGAUGCAGCAACGCCGCGUGAGGGAUGACGGCCUUCGGGUUGUAAACCUCUUUUAGUAGGGAAGAAGGGAGCUUGCUCUUGACGGUACCUGCAGAAAAAGCACCGGCUAACUACGUGCCAGCAGCCGCGGUAAUACGUAGGGUGCAAGCGUUGUCCGGAAUUAUUGGGCGUAAAGAGCUCGUAGGCGGUUUGUCGCGUCUGCUGUGAAAUCCCGAGGCUCAACCUCGGGCUUGCAGUGGGUACGGGCAGACUAGAGUGCGGUAGGGGAGAUUGGAAUUCCUGGUGUAGCGGUGGAAUGCGCAGAUAUCAGGAGGAACACCGAUGGCGAAGGCAGAUCUCUGGGCCGUAACUGACGCUGAGGAGCGAAAGCAUGGGGAGCGAACAGGAUUAGAUACCCUGGUAGUCCAUGCCGUAAACGUUGGGCGCUAGAUGUAGGGACCUUUCCACGGUUUCUGUGUCGUAGCUAACGCAUUAAGCGCCCCGCCUGGGGAGUACGGCCGCAAGGCUAAAACUCAAAGGAAUUGACGGGGGCCCGCACAAGCGGCGGAGCAUGCGGAUUAAUUCGAUGCAACGCGA